UACGAAGGGGGCAAGCGUUGUUCGGAAUCACUGGGCGUAAAGCGCACGCAGGCGGAUGGAUAAGUCGGGGGUGAAAGCCCGGGGCUCAACCUCGGAAUUGCCUUCGAUACUGUCGGUCUCGAGUCCGGGAGAGGUGAGUGGAAUUCCUAGUGUAGAGGUGAAAUUCGUAGAUAUUAGGAAGAACACCAGUGGCGAAGGCGGCUCACUGGCCCGGUCCUGACGCUCAGGUGCGAAAGCGUGGGGAGCAAACAGG
RNAcentral lists this ribosomal RNA (253 nucleotides) under uncultured bacterium. RNAcentral's name for it is "partial 16S ribosomal RNA". It matches the Rfam family "Bacterial small subunit ribosomal RNA", at positions 524 to 776 of the family's 1533-position model. The record is from RNAcentral.